CUCAUCUCGGACUGCAACAGCCGUACAGUUUUUACAGCUUCCUUCUGUUUGGAUGUUCUCCUCAUGCCACAGCCUUCUCGAUCUUCUAUAACACCAUAGGUUUAAACAUUUUUAUGUCUCCGAAACGCAGCUAUCCCGACGACUCCCGGCCCUUCUGCAUCAUUUCCUUGUACCUUAAAUGCCCCUAUGGUCAUUCACCACAGCCUCGAGGCCGGGCCUUCUGCGACUAUCCUUACGCAUUCACUCAAUCAAUCCUUUAGGACCACUCAAAACCAAACGGCAGUGGUCGCCAUAACUCGGGUGCCUGCUCACGUGUCAUACUCGAUCGUGAUACGCAUUAUUGAAUAGGUGAGCGUGCUGGACAGGGGCGACGAACGAUCUUCAAUUGCUGAGACCGGGUUCAAUACUGCAUGCUGUGCCAAUGGCGCUGUAUACGCGGUACUGUAUAAUACCACUGCCUACACAUCCUGAACCUGAACUCUAUGAGCUUUUGACCAGCAACUCUGAAGGGACUGAAAAAGGAACCUGGCCGACAUCAGACGAAUCUAUCCCCCCAUCUGAUCCUUUUUACCUGCACCUGGAGACAUCCCUGCUUAUUAUACUAUACUCAGGUCUGUAUUUCCGACCUCAAUAAAAGCAGCAAAAUCCAGCAACGUAAUAAGAAAGUUUCCAACAACUAUGAUUCAGCAACUCUGAAAUAUAUUCGAGCAGAUUACAUUUUACUAAAUAGCUACUGUACAAUUAUCCUAAUGUUUCCAUUGUAAACAAAUCUUCGCCUAUUAAACCCGAAACGACGUGAUUAUCGUCAAUAUAAUCGCCUUAUAUAAAAUCGCGGCCACGCAUGCAAGCUCUGAAAACGAACCCAACAAUUACCGCCGCGAUAUCAGAUCAUAGCGAGAAUAUGCGCAAAUAAGAAACUGCGGAACGUAUCAGUGAAAAAGCCGCCAAGUCCUAUCCUUCCAUUUCACUCUGAUUUACCAGCAUGAAGAGCAUGAGUGGGAUCCCGACAUCCAUCUCACUGAAAGGUGUAAGCACACAUUAUCCAAUUACAGAACUUGAGUCGUCACGUCGCUUGAUGAACUCUGGGAACAGAUACAAUAGGUAUGGGAUGAGAUCGACCUGAGUAGACAGCAGGGAUCUGAUAGAUGAGGUGGAGCAGAGGGGCGUAGCAGUAUGGAAAGGGAAAUACAAGUCUACCAAGUGCUAGAUUAUUGUAAAUUAUACAUAGAAUCUGCCUAUUAUGUACUUGGUUUGCCCAAAAACAUGCACUGUAAAAUGAUACAUGCAAUCAUGUU
This 1295-nucleotide small RNA is filed under the name Cryptococcus neoformans H99. RNAcentral's name for it is "Cryptococcus neoformans var. grubii H99 hypothetical RNA". Lineage: Eukaryota; Fungi; Basidiomycota; Tremellomycetes; Tremellales; Cryptococcaceae. The record is from RNAcentral.